Molecule: ribosomal RNA, 506 nt
Filed under: uncultured bacterium
Lineage: Bacteria
Description: bacterial SSU rRNA
Rfam family: Bacterial small subunit ribosomal RNA
Source: RNAcentral
UGCCUAAUACAUGCAAGUCGAACGCACUCUCGUUUUAGAUUUGAAGGAGCUUUGCUCCUGAUUGAUAAACAUUUGAGUGAGUGGCGGACGGGUGAGUAACACGUGGGUAACCUGCCCUAAAGUGGGGGAUAACAUUUGGAAACAGAUGCUAAUACCGCAUAAAACCUAACACCGCAUGGUGUAGGGUUGAAAGAUGGUUUCGGCUAUCACUUUAGGAUGGACCCGCGGUGCAUUAGUUAGUUGGUGAGGUAAAGGCUCACCAAGACCGUGAUGCAUAGCCGACCUGAGAGGGUAAUCGGCCACACUGGGACUGAGACACGGCCCAGACUCCUACGGGAGGCAGCAGUAGGGAAUCUUCCACAAUGGACGAAAGUCUGAUGGAGCAACGCCGCGUGAGUGAAGAAGGUUUUCGGAUCGUAAAACUCUGUUGUUGGAGAAGAAUGUAUCUGAUAGUAACUGAUCAGGUAGUGACGGUAUCCAACCAGAAAGCCACGGCUAACUACGUG